GACGAACGCUGGCGGCGUGCCUAACACAUGCAAGUCGAGCGAGUGAAUCUCCUUCGGGAGUGAAGCUAGCGGCGGACGGGUGAGUAACACGUGGGCAACCUGCCUCAUAGAGGGGAAUAGCCUUUCGAAAGGAAGAUUAAUACCGCAUAAGAUUGUAGCUUCGCAUGAAGUAGCAAUUAAAGGAGCAAUCCGCGAUGAGAUGGGCCUGCGGCGCAUUAGCUAGUUGGUGAGGUAACGGCUCACCAAGGCGACGAUGCGUAGCCGACCUGAGAGGGUGAUCGGCCACAUUGGGACUGAGACACGGCCCAGACUCCUACGGGAGGCAGCAGUGGGGAAUAUUGCACAAUGGGGGAAACCCUGAUGCAGCAACGCCGCGUGAGUGAUGACGGCCUUCGGGUUGUAAAGCUCUGUCUUCAGGGACGAUAAUGACGGUACCUGAGGAGGAAGCCACGGCUAACUACGUGCCAGCAGCCGCGGUAA
This 480-nucleotide ribosomal RNA is filed under the name uncultured bacterium. RNAcentral's name for it is "partial 16S ribosomal RNA". It matches the Rfam family "Bacterial small subunit ribosomal RNA", at positions 28 to 523 of the family's 1533-position model. The record is from RNAcentral.